GUGGGGAAUUUUGGACAAUGGGCGCAAGCCUGAUCCAGCAAUGCCGCGUGAGUGAAGAAGGCCUUCGGGUUGUAAAGCUCUUUUGUCAGGGAAGAAACGGCUGUGGCUAAUAUCCACGGCUAAUGACGGUACCUGAAGAAUAAGCACCGGCUAACUACGUGCCAGCAGCCGCGGUAAUACGUAGGGUGCAAGCGUUAAUCGGAAUUACUGGGCGUAAAGCGUGCGCAGGCGGUUUUGUAAGUCUGUCGUGAAAUCCCCGGGCUCAACCUGGGAAUUGCGAUGGAGACUGCAAGGCUAGAAUCUGGCAGAGGGGGGUAGAAUUCCACGUGUAGCAGUGAAAUGCGUAGAGAUGUGGAGGAACACCGAUGGCGAAGGCAGCCCCCUGGGUCAAGAUUGACGCUCAUGCACGAAAGCGUGGGGAGCAAACAGGAUUAGAAACCCUAGUAGUCC
RNAcentral lists this ribosomal RNA (450 nucleotides) under uncultured Massilia sp. Its description in RNAcentral is "bacterial SSU rRNA". It matches the Rfam family "Bacterial small subunit ribosomal RNA", at positions 354 to 796 of the family's 1533-position model. The record is from RNAcentral. Lineage: Bacteria; Pseudomonadati; Pseudomonadota; Betaproteobacteria; Burkholderiales; Oxalobacteraceae.